AGCGACAACGACUGGCGACGCGGAGCCAAGCUGCUACCCCGAUUCCCUCCCCCAUGGGCUCGGCACUCUGUCUCUGCCUGUCCCCGAUCCCAGGCUCCCAACUCCUUCCCCGCACCCGUCCCGCCCUCUCGCCCCCAGCAAACACCCUCACCCCUCGCUGCAAGCACCCCCCACCCCCUCGCAGGCAGCCCCAAUCCCUCUCCGCAGGCCCGGAUCCCGGUGUUGUCCGGUCCUCUUCCACUCCCAGUCAGUGCCAGCCGACCCUAGCUCUUCUCCUGACAACAAAGGAGGAAGCAACCUCCCCCUCCCGAUCCACCUUUCCCGGCGCAGGGCACGGGAGGUGAGGGUGGGAGCCGGCGAGGGGAGGCGGGAUGGGAGCACUUCAGGUCCCCACAGGAGGUGUGCGUAGAAGGACGCUUCACGCCAGGCCUAAAGUGCCGUUUCCAAGAAGGAAGCGGUCCCUCCUCCGCCUCUUCACGGCGCCUGGCAAUACCUCCUCACACCACAGAGACUUCCCCACACAUAUCCCGACGCUGCGCAGAGGAAAGCUCCAGCUCCCUGCUUCCAACCGCUCCGGGAAGGCAGGGCCGUGAGAGAUCGGGGAGGCUGCCAGAAUCAUAGGUCCGUUUCAUCUGGAAAUUACCUCCAAAAUCAUCCAGUCCAACCAUCCACCUAAGACCGCGAUGGCUACUAAGCCAUGUCCCAAAGUGCCUUGUCCUUGAACACCUCCAGAUAAAGAGGACCCAGAACAUCUUGACUACAAACUAAGGAAGCAAUUAAAGGAACCAGCUGCAAAAUUGGACUGAAGGUGAAAAGUACACUGUGAGGAAGACCGCUAGCCUUCAUCCCAGAUGACCACCAGAAGACGACAAAGAGGGUAGAACCAGAGUGGAGAAUGGGAGGACACCAAUGAGCUCCAAGAACUAAUUUUAAUAAUCACAGCUAUUCUAAGAAAUAAUUGUAAUAACCCUACCUCUUAUCAUUAAUACAUAUGCUUUUAUAACAUAAAUAACAGCUUGUGUCAGCAUAGGGCAUGCAGGUUUGGUGGAGCAACACCCCCACACGCCCCAUACCCAGUGCUAUAAUAAACA
Pogoniulus pusillus (Red-fronted tinkerbird) is the source of this 1091-nucleotide long non-coding RNA. RefSeq lists it as uncharacterized. The record is from RefSeq and is a predicted model, not a curated record. The transcript has 3 exons. NCBI's taxonomy places the organism in Eukaryota, Metazoa, Chordata, Aves, Piciformes, Lybiidae.